UGGGGAAUAUUGGACAAUGGGCGAAAGCCUGAUCCAGCAAUGCCGCGUGAGUGAUGAAGGCCCUAGGGUUGUAAAGCUCUUUCGCACGCGACGAUGAUGACGGUAGCGUGAGAAGAAGCCCCGGCUAACUUCGUGCCAGCAGCCGCGGUAAUACGAAGGGGGCUAGCGUUGUUCGGAAUUACUGGGCGUAAAGCGCACGCAGGCGGUCCGUUAAAUUAGAAGUGAAAGCCCUGGGCUCAACCCGGGAAUUGCUUUUAAGACUGGCGGACUAGAAUCCGGAAGAGGGUAGCGGAAUUCCCAGUGUAGAGGUGAAAUUCGUAGAUAUUGGGAAGAACACCGGUGGCGAAGGCGGCUACCUGGUCCGGCAUUGACGCUCAUGUGCGAAAGCGUGGGGAGCAAACAGGAUUAGAUACCCCCGUAGUCC
Molecule: ribosomal RNA, 424 nt
Filed under: uncultured bacterium
Lineage: Bacteria
Description: bacterial SSU rRNA
Rfam family: Bacterial small subunit ribosomal RNA
Source: RNAcentral